AUACGGAGGAUCCGAGCGUUAUCCGGAUUUAUUGGGUUUAAAGGGUGCGCAGGCGGCCAUUUAAGUCAGCGGUUAAAUCGUGGGGCUCAACCCCAUUCUGCCGUUGAUACUGGGUGGCUUGAUUGCGGUCGAGGUUGGCGGAAUUCGUUGUGUAGUGGUGAAAUGCAUAGAUAUGACGAAGAACACCGAUUGCGUAGGCAGCUGACCAGACCGCAAAUGACGCUCAUGCACGAAAGUGCGGGGAUCGAACAGGAUUAGAUACCCUGGUAGUCCGCACAGUAAACGAUGAAUACUUGUUUUCGGCGAUAUAAUGUCGGAGGCAAAGCGAAAGCGAUAAGUAUUCCACCUGGGGAGUACGCCGGCAACGGUGAAACUUAAAGGAAUUGACGGGG
This 392-nucleotide ribosomal RNA is filed under the name uncultured bacterium. RNAcentral's name for it is "partial 16S ribosomal RNA". It matches the Rfam family "Bacterial small subunit ribosomal RNA", at positions 523 to 918 of the family's 1533-position model. The record is from RNAcentral.